GGGUGUAUGGUGGAAUGGUAGACACGUCGGUUUUAGAAGCCGAUGCCGAAAGGUGUAAGGGUUCAAAUCCCUUUAUACCCA
RNAcentral lists this transfer RNA (81 nucleotides) under Nitrospirota bacterium. RNAcentral describes it as "Nitrospirae bacterium (sediment metagenome) tRNA-Leu". It matches the Rfam family "tRNA". From Rfam's summary of the family: Transfer RNA (tRNA) molecules are approximately 80 nucleotides in length. Their secondary structure includes four short double-helical elements and three loops (D, anti-codon, and T loops). Further hydrogen bonds mediate the characteristic L-shaped molecular structure. tRNAs have two regions of fundamental functional importance: the anti-codon, which is responsible for specific mRNA codon recognition, and the 3' end, to which the tRNAs corresponding amino acid is attached (by aminoacyl-tRNA synthetases). tRNAs cope with the degeneracy of the genetic code in two manners: having more than one tRNA (with a specific anti-codon) for a particular amino acid; and 'wobble' base-pairing, i.e. permitting non-standard base-pairing at the 3rd anti-codon position. Lineage: Bacteria; Pseudomonadati; Nitrospirota. The record is from RNAcentral.